This 1191-nucleotide long non-coding RNA is filed under the name Numida meleagris (helmeted guineafowl). Its description in RNAcentral is "lncRNA (ENSNMEG00000020535.1)". The record is from RNAcentral. Lineage: Eukaryota; Metazoa; Chordata; Aves; Galliformes; Numididae.
GUGCCGUGCCAUGAGACGUCAAAGGGAUAUGCUAAAUUUCAAGAAAACUUGAAAUUUAACCUGUAAUAAACGAGAUACAUGACAGCUUUAAAUUCCAGCCAAAACAUACUGGCAUUUACCAAAUUUGGAGAGGAAGACAGUGCACUUCAGAGUGUAAGUUAGUUUUUUGUUUUGGAAUGAUGAAGAUUUUACUGUAAUUGUCAGUCACAUGCUUGCAAAUUGCAUAACAAAGCUUUUAUUAUUCCACUUCUUUUUUUUUUUUUUUUUUUUUUUUGAAGCAUGGAAAUUGAGGUUGAGAUGCUCUUUCAAUUCUUAAAUGUUUGGAUAGUUAAUGGUUUGGACCAUUUCAGAGAGGAACAGAUGGUAUGGAUUUAUUUGGUUCCUACUGAAGGGUGCUCCUGGUAGCUGCUGACAUGGGAAGCAAACAAAUGAAGCUUGAAAUGGAGGAAUAGCUUAAGACUAAAUUUGUAACCACUAACUUUUUGUUUCUUUUCCUUGCUAAGUAAAGGACUUCAUGAAAGCUGCACAUAUGAAUGAAGCAUAUAUUUUUACCAAUUUAGGUUAUAAAUUGCUGCCAUCCCAAUCCAUGAAGGAGAAAGACACAAAUGUUUAAAAAUGUCACUUAACAAAGCAUUAUUCCAUUUCUAAGAGUGCAAAAGGAUGGAAGCAAAAUCUACAGCCACCUGUGUGGACAUUUCUUGAGCAAGCCAAAUAGUUUUCUAUCAAACUGGAAAUAGGGCAAUGUUGUCAUCUGAUGGAAAAUGGAACAUCCAACUGAAGUUAAAAUGAAGAUACUCAAACUGAAGAUUCUUCUACAAGACUGAACACUCAAAAUCGCUCUCUGCACUCCAUCCAUAGUCUAUAAAAGCCAGCACAGACAGGAUUACAAGAGGAGAAAUCUUCUCUGUUAACACAAUGUUGGCCAAUGUUUGGGACUUCGCAAUAUCUGGUUCAACAAACAAACCACAGAUGAGUCUGGAAAAAAAUAGCAACAAAUUCCAGCAGAUGGACAAAAAUUGGAAAAAAUACCUUCAGAAGAACAGACCACACAAGGUGUGUAUAAGCCCGUUUUGUUAUCUUCACUACUGAUAGUGUUAUCUAGAUCUAUGAAUAAGAUGCUGUGAAAUGGUUCACACUUCUGAAAGGGGGAAUAGCUUUGAAGUUUCUACUCAUCACUAAAUAGGAUUUAUG